UGCGUAGGUGGCAUAUCAAGUCUUUGGUUAAAGAACGGGGCUCAACUCCGUAGAGCCAAGGAAACUGAUAGGCUAGAGUAUGGUAGAGGUGAGUGGAAUUCCAUGUGUAGCGGUAAAAUGCGUAAAUAUAUGGAGGAACACCAGUGGCGAAGGCGGCUCACUAGGCCAAUACUGACACUGAGGCACGAAAGCGUGGGAGCAAACA
Molecule: ribosomal RNA, 205 nt
Filed under: uncultured bacterium
Lineage: Bacteria
Description: partial 16S ribosomal RNA
Rfam family: Bacterial small subunit ribosomal RNA
Source: RNAcentral